Molecule: ribosomal RNA, 1123 nt
Filed under: Vibrio sp.
Lineage: Bacteria; Pseudomonadati; Pseudomonadota; Gammaproteobacteria; Vibrionales; Vibrionaceae
Description: bacterial SSU rRNA
Rfam family: Bacterial small subunit ribosomal RNA
Source: RNAcentral
CCUAGGUGGGAUUAGCUAGUUGGUGAGGUAAUGGCUCACCAAGGCGACGAUCCCUAGCUGGUCUGAGAGGAUGAUCAGCCACACUGGAACUGAGACACGGUCCAGAUUCCUACGGGAGGCAGCAGUGGGGAAUAUUGCACAAUGGGCGCAAGCCUGAUGCAGCCAUGCCGCGUGUGUGAAGAAGGCCUUCGGGUUGUAAAGCACUUUCAGUCGUGAGGAAGGUAGUGUAGUUAAUAGCUGCAUUAUUUGACGUUAGCGACAGAAGAAGCACCGGCUAACUCCGUGCCAGCAGCCGCGGUAAUACGGAGGGUGCGAGCGUUAAUCGGAAUUACUGGGCGUAAAGCGCAUGCAGGUGGUUUGUUAAGUCAGAUGUGAAAGCCCGGGGCUCAACCUCGGAAUAGCAUUUGAAACUGGCAGACUAGAGUACUGUAGAGGGGGGUAGAAUUUCAGGUGUAGCGGUGAAAUGCGUAGAGAUCUGAAGGAAUACCGGUGGCGAAGGCGGCCCCCUGGACAGAUACUGACACUCAGAUGCGAAAGCGUGGGGAGCAAACAGGAUUAGAUACCCUGGUAGUCCACGCCGUAAACGAUGUCUACUUGGAGGUUGUGGCCUUGAGCCGUGGCUUUCGGAGCUAACGCGUUAAGUAGACCGCCUGGGGAGUACGGUCGCAAGAUUAAAACUCAAAUGAAUUGACGGGGGCCCGCACAAGCGGUGGAGCAUGUGGUUUAAUUCGAUGCAACGCGAAGAACCUUACCUACUCUUGACAUCCAGAGAACUUUCCAGAGAUGGAUUGGUGCCUUCGGGAACUCUGAGACAGGUGCUGCAUGGCUGUCGUCAGCUCGUGUUGUGAAAUGUUGGGUUAAGUCCCGCAACGAGCGCAACCCUUAUCCUUGUUUGCCAGCACUUCGGGUGGGAACUCCAGGGAGACUGCCGGUGAUAAACCGGAGGAAGGUGGGGACGACGUCAAGUCAUCAUGGCCCUUACGAGUAGGGCUACACACGUGCUACAAUGGCGCAUACAGAGGGCGGCCAACUUGCGAGAGUGAGCGAAUCCCAAAAAGUGCGUCGUAGUCCGGAUCGGAGUCUGCAACUCGACUCCGUGAAGUCGGAAUCGCUAGUAAUCGUG